UGGGGAAUAUUGCACAAUGGGCGCAAGCCUGAUGCAGCCAUGCCGCGUGUGUGAAGAAGGACUUCGGGUUGUAAAGCACUUUCAGCGGGGAGGAAGGCGGUUAGGUUAAUAACCUCAUCGAUUGACGUUACCCGCAGAAGAAGCACCGGCUAACUCCGUGCCAGCAGCCGCGGUAAUACGGAGGGUGCAAGCGUUAAUCGGAAUUACUGGGCGUAAAGCGCACGCAGGCGGUUUGUUAAGUCAGAUGUGAAAUCCCCGGGCUCAACCUGGGAACUGAAUCUGAUACUGGCAAGCUUGAGUCUCGUAGAGGGGGGUAGAAUUCCAGGUGUAGCGGUGAAAUGCGUAGAGAUCUGGAGGAAUACCGGUGGCGAAGGCGGCCCCCUGGACGAAGACUGACGCUCAGGUGCGAAAGCGUGGGGAGCAAACAGG
RNAcentral lists this ribosomal RNA (429 nucleotides) under Chloroflexota bacterium. Its description in RNAcentral is "Chloroflexi bacterium partial 16S ribosomal RNA". It matches the Rfam family "Bacterial small subunit ribosomal RNA", at positions 355 to 776 of the family's 1533-position model. Lineage: Bacteria; Bacillati; Chloroflexota. The record is from RNAcentral.